Molecule: unclassified non-coding RNA, 398 nt
Filed under: fungal sp.
Lineage: Eukaryota; Fungi
Description: partial internal transcribed spacer region
Rfam family: Eukaryotic small subunit ribosomal RNA (bases 1-46)
Source: RNAcentral
AAGUCGUAACAAGGUUUCCGUAGGUGAACCUGCGGAAGGAUCAUUAACACGUAUCCAACGUUAAAACAACCCUGUGAACCUUCAAUCUUGCUCGCGUGGCUCCAUGAAAGCAGCAAUCCCUGGUAAAUCAUUGUCGACCAGAUUUUGAGUCAGGGACCUCUGCCGAUGAGAGUUACGCUCGUAGCGAUGCAAGCGACCUGGCACCCCCAAGCAAUCAGAGUUCUGAAAGCGUCUUUGAUUGUGUAAGGGUGGCGCAAACACGAUCGUUGGAGGCCGACACGGCCGACGACCGGGUCAGCGAGCUCUGCUCCCACUGUUACGACAAACCUCUGUUCCCCUCUAGUGAAAGCUAUUGGGUUAUAACUAAACGACUGUUAACAAUGGAUAUCUCGAUUCUC